UACUUAUGUAAAGGUCAAUACAGAGGACA
This 29-nucleotide non-coding RNA is filed under the name Mus musculus (house mouse). Lineage: Eukaryota; Metazoa; Chordata; Mammalia; Rodentia; Muridae. The record is from RNAcentral.